CAAAAACAUCGCCUGCUAAUUUUAUAGCAGGUAGAUUCUGCCCAAUGAAGCUUAAAUGGCCGCAGUAUCCUGACUGUGCUAAGGUAGCAUAAUAACUUGUCUCUUAAUUGGAGGCUAGAAUGAAUGAACUGACGAAGAAGAAACUGUCUCAGGAGGGUAAAAGGAAAUUUAUACUCAGGUAAAAAAUCCUGAGAGUUGUAGAGGGACGAUAAGACCCUAAAAGCUUUACCCCUUUCAACCUAAGCUUAUACAGCACUAUUGGGUCUACAGGGUUUUCACUGGGGCGGUGACUCUACUAAACUAGAGCAAUUAAAACACCUUGAGUGAACCUAAUGACCUUAACUAAGAUACCAAAAUAAGUUACUUUAGGGAUAACAGCGCAAUUCUCUGUAAGAGCCCUUAUCGACCAGAGAGAUUACGACCUCGAUGUUGAAUUGAAGACUUAGCCAAAGCAGCAUUUGGCUGAAAGGAGACUGUUCGUCUCUUAAACCUUCACGUGAUCUGAG
This 506-nucleotide ribosomal RNA is filed under the name Ligia furcata. RNAcentral's name for it is "partial large subunit ribosomal RNA". It matches the Rfam family "Archaeal large subunit ribosomal RNA", at positions 1900 to 2678 of the family's 2987-position model. Lineage: Eukaryota; Metazoa; Arthropoda; Malacostraca; Isopoda; Ligiidae. The record is from RNAcentral.